UACGAAGGGUGCUAGCGUUGUUCGGAAUCACUGGGCGUAAAGCGCGCGUAGGCGGCAAUACAAGUCAGGGGUGAAAUCCCAGAGCUUAACUCUGGAACUGCCUUUGAAACUGUAUUGCUAGAGUGUCGGAGGGGAUGGCGGAAUUCCUAAUGUAGAGGUGAAAUUCGUAGAUAUUAGGAGGAACACCGGUGGCGAAGGCGGCCAUCUGGACGACAACUGACGCUGAGGCGCGAAAGCGUGGGGAUCAAACAGG
This 253-nucleotide ribosomal RNA is filed under the name uncultured bacterium. RNAcentral describes it as "partial 16S ribosomal RNA". It matches the Rfam family "Bacterial small subunit ribosomal RNA", at positions 524 to 776 of the family's 1533-position model. The record is from RNAcentral.